UACGGAGGAUGCAAGCGUUAUCCGGAAUGAUUGGGCGUAAGGCGUCCGCAGGUGGUUUUGUAAGUCUGCUGUUAAAGCGUCAUGCUCAACAUGAUAAAGGCAGUGGAAACUACUCAACUCGAGUGCGUUCGGGGCAGAGGGAAUUCCUGGUGUAGCGGUGAAAUGCGUAGAGAUCAGGAAGAACACCGGUGGCGAAAGCGCUCUGCUAGGCCGCAACUGACACUGAGGGACGAAAGCUAGGGGAGCGAAUGGG
RNAcentral lists this ribosomal RNA (253 nucleotides) under uncultured bacterium. RNAcentral's name for it is "partial 16S ribosomal RNA". It matches the Rfam family "Bacterial small subunit ribosomal RNA", at positions 524 to 776 of the family's 1533-position model. The record is from RNAcentral.